GCAUGACCUGGUACCAAAUGCUUUAAAGCCGAUCUUGACGAUGCUGCUGGAUGAUGAACCGUCUGAAUUAUUUUCAAUCCUUUACUGCUCACCUGAAAGCAUAAAAAUAAUCAUCAUUAUAACGUUCUUUCGAAAUUUAAAGGUUAAAUUGUCGACAUAAAGAACAACGAAGAAACACAAAGAGAAAGAUGAUGAAGAUACCUGUUCUAUGUGCAGUCUACUUCGUUUAAUGUUUAUUUUUUUUUUCUCUCAAGUCCCAUAAAAUUAAGAAAAAAUGCUAACACUUAUUCACUGACCAGUGUGUAGCAAAAUUCGUUAUAAAAAUUCCUCAUUUUCAAUUCGAGAAAAGUUAAAUUUAAAUAAAUUAACGUACACAGGAAAUUUGGAAAUUGACUAAAACAAAAGAUAAACCCAUCUUUUUCUAUAUAUCAAUUCGACUAGAUAAUUUUUUUGAAAUUAAUGCUCAGGAAAUGUGGAAAUGCUCAAACUUUAAAAAGAAGAAAAAACAUCAAUGCCUCAAUAAAAAAUCUAUUUGUUUUGAACACAAAGCGAAAUAAAGUCACAGCUAGACAUACUUUUUGAAGGAAGAAAGACACACACACACAAAAGAAUAGAAUGAAGUAACAUGACCGCAUGAUUUUCUAAAAGUCUAACACUUGUAUUAUAGAACGAAGCCGAAGCAAGAUUGUUUCUUUAAAAAAGAACACC
This is a long non-coding RNA of Leptopilina boulardi, 708 nucleotides long. RefSeq lists it as uncharacterized. The record is from RefSeq and is a predicted model, not a curated record. Lineage: Eukaryota; Metazoa; Arthropoda; Insecta; Hymenoptera; Figitidae. The transcript has 3 exons.